RNAcentral lists this ribosomal RNA (243 nucleotides) under uncultured Comamonas sp. RNAcentral's name for it is "partial 16S ribosomal RNA". It matches the Rfam family "Bacterial small subunit ribosomal RNA", at positions 1140 to 1382 of the family's 1533-position model. Lineage: Bacteria; Pseudomonadati; Pseudomonadota; Betaproteobacteria; Burkholderiales; Comamonadaceae. The record is from RNAcentral.
CUAAUGAGACUGCCGGUGACAAACCGGAGGAAAGGUGGGGAUGACGUCAAGUCCUCAUGGCCCUUAUAGUGGGGCUACACACGUCAUACAAUGGCUGGUACAAAGGGUUGCCAACCCGCGAGGGGGAGCCAAUCCCAUAAAGCCAGUCGUAGUCCGGAUCGCAGUCUGCAACUCGACUGCGUGAAGUCGGAAUCGCUAGUAAUCGUGGAUCAGCAUGUCACGGUGAAUACGUUCCCGGGUCUU